AUUGAACGCUGGCGGAAUGCUUUACACAUGCAAGUCGAACGGUAGAGGGGGCAACCCCUUGAGAGUGGCGAACGGGUGAGUAAUAUAUCGGAACGUGCCCAGUCGUGGGGGAUAACGUAGCGAAAGUUACGCUAAUACCGCAUACGAUCUAUGGAUGAAAGCGGGGGACCGUAAGGCCUCGCGCGAUUGGAGCGGCCGAUAUCAGAUUAGGUAGUUGGUGGGGUAAAGGCUCACCAAGCCAACGAUCUGUAGCUGGUCUGAGAGGACGACCAGCCACACUGGAACUGAGACACGGUCCAGACUCCUACGGGAGGCAGCAGUGGGGAAUAUUGGGCAAUGGACGCAAGUCUGACCCAGCCAUGCCGCGUGCAGGAUGAAGGCGUUAUGCGUUGUAAACUGCUUUAUACAGGAAGAAACGACUCUUGCGAGAGGCAUUGACGGUACUGUAUGAAUAAGCACCGGCUAACUCCGUGCCAGCAGCC
RNAcentral lists this ribosomal RNA (482 nucleotides) under uncultured bacterium. Its description in RNAcentral is "bacterial SSU rRNA". It matches the Rfam family "Bacterial small subunit ribosomal RNA", at positions 30 to 516 of the family's 1533-position model. The record is from RNAcentral.